Molecule: ribosomal RNA, 484 nt
Filed under: uncultured bacterium
Lineage: Bacteria
Description: partial 16S ribosomal RNA
Rfam family: Bacterial small subunit ribosomal RNA
Source: RNAcentral
AUUGAACGCUGGCGGCAGGCCUAACACAUGCAAGUCGAGCGGAUGAAGGGAGCUUGCUCCUGGAUUCAACGGCGGACGGGUGAGCAAUGCCUAGGAAUCUGCCUGGUAGUGGGGGAUAACGUCCGGAAACGGGCGCUAAUACCGCAUACGUCCUGAGGGAGAAAGUGGGGGAUCUUCGGACCUCACGCUAUCAGAUGAGCCUAGGUCGGAUUAGCUAGUUGGUGGGGUAAAGGCCUACCAAGGCGACGAUCCGUAACUGGUCUGAGAGGAUGAUCAGUCACACUGGAACUGAGACACGGUCCAGACUCCUACGGGAGGCAGCAGUGGGGAAUAUUGGACAAUGGGCGAAAGCCUGAUCCAGCCAUGCCGCGUGUGUGAAGAAGGUCUUCGGAUUGUAAAGCACUUUAAGUUGGGAGGAAGGGCAGUAAGUUAAUACCUUGCUGUUUUGACGUUACCAACAGAAUAAGCACCGGCUAACUUCGUG